ACGGGUGCGGAACACGUACGCAACCUUCCCAAAACUGGGGGAUAGCUUUCGGAAACGAAAAUUAAUACCCCGUAACACAAUGAGAUGGCAUCAUUUUAUUGUUAUAGUUCCGACGGUUUUGGAUGGGCGUGCGGCUGAUUAGGUAGUUGGCGGGGUAAUAGCCCACCAAGCCUACGAUCAGUAACUGGUGUGAGAGCACGACCAGUCACACGGGCACUGAGACACGGGCCCGACUCCUACGGGAGGCAGCAGUAAGGAAUAUUGGUCAAUGGACGCAAGUCUGAACCAGCCAUGCCGCGUGGAGGAUGAAGGUCCUCUGGAUUGUAAACUUCUUUUAUCGGAGAAGAAACCCCGGAAUUCUUUCUGGGUUGACGGUACCCGAUGAAUAAGCACCGGCUAACUCCGUGCCAGCAGCCGCGGUAAUACGGAGGGUGCAAGCGUUAUCCGGAUUCACUGGGUUUAAAGGGUGCGUAGGCGGGUUGGUAAGUCAGUGGUGAAAUCUUCAAGCUUAACUUGGAAACUGCCGUUGAUACUAUCAAUCUUGAAUAUUGUGGAGGUAAGCGGAAUAUGUCAUGUAGC
RNAcentral lists this ribosomal RNA (579 nucleotides) under uncultured Niastella sp. Its description in RNAcentral is "bacterial SSU rRNA". It matches the Rfam family "Bacterial small subunit ribosomal RNA", at positions 102 to 679 of the family's 1533-position model. Lineage: Bacteria; Pseudomonadati; Bacteroidota; Chitinophagia; Chitinophagales; Chitinophagaceae. The record is from RNAcentral.